CAAUAGCGUAUAUUAAAGUUGUUGCAGUUAAAAAGCUCGUAGUUGGAUUUGUGGUGUACUUCGGCGGCCCGUCACUAUGUGAUGGAGCUUGCUGAAGUCGCCAUCCUUGGGUGGAUCCUGUGUGGCAUUAAGUUGUCGUGCAGGGGAUGCCCAUCGUUUACUGUGAAAAAAUUAGAGUGUUCAAAGCAGGCUUAUGCCGUUGAAUAUAUUAGCAUGGAAUAAUAAGAUAGGACCUUGGUACUAUUUUGUUGGUUUGCGCACCAAGGUAAUGAUUAAUAGGGACAGUUGGGGGUAUUCGUAUUUCAUUGUCAGAGGUGAAAUUCUUGGAUUUUUGAAAGACGAACUACUGCGAAAGCAUUUACCAAGGAUGUUUUCAUUA
This 379-nucleotide ribosomal RNA is filed under the name uncultured eukaryote. RNAcentral's name for it is "partial 18S ribosomal RNA". It matches the Rfam family "Eukaryotic small subunit ribosomal RNA", at positions 592 to 975 of the family's 1831-position model. The record is from RNAcentral.